ACAAACACAUUGAAGCACAACAAACUUUAUUCCAUUAUACAUCAUCCAUUUAGUGUAACAUCUGUGCGUUGUAAGUCAAUGGAUUAAUGGGUUUAAUAUCUGUAUUUUAUUAUUGAGACCCUUUUUGGAUGGCAUAUCAUUGUAUUGAGCGAGUGAAAUUUGCUCUAUACUUGAUAAGAAUGUUCAUCCGCAUUCAAAUAUGUCAGAAAGGAGAUUUAGAACGUUGAAAUUUUGAUCUGGGUGUGGAUGCUGAGCUCCUAGGUGUCGACACUUGCAUCCCUCUCAUUUUUCUUCGGCUUUCUGUUUUUGGGUGUUGACACCCUCUCUUCCUAGUGUUGACACCCUCUGGCCUGGAGUGACUCGGGUGCAUUCUGCUUAGAAGUGUCAACACUUGGGCAAUUUGGGGUCGGCACUGCCUGACCUUUGGGUGCACUAGUGCACACUGCUUCUGAAUGUCAACACCUAGGCUCUAUGGUGUCGACACUCCACCUGUGUUGAACCUGUUUUACUGCACCAUCAUACAUGGGUGUCAACACCCCUCCCUGUGAUGGCAACACUUGACAUAAACCCAAAGACAAAUUUGCCAUGUUUUACGCCACACUUUGAAAUUUUUUGACUUUAUAUUUUAUUUAAUCUUGGACCCAACUAUCCAUUUUAUCCUUCCACUAUAAAUAGAAAUACUAUCUAAUUUUUCUCAAUUUCUCUCAUUCACUCUCUCACCUCUCCUGAUCUCUCUCUCUCUCUCUCCCCCCAUUGUUAGAGUUCCAAGCUCUUCAAGGUUGCGUUUCAUGUACUUAGAGGUGAAAUCAACCCUUAGUCCAUGAGGAUAAAAGUUAGAUCACAUCAAGAGCUAUGUUUGGGACCAAUUAGAUCCUGUUUUCGCCGUCAUCGAAGUUUGGGUCUUCAACUCUUAUUUUCUCUUUCAUCUUUGAGGCGAGGAUGAUGUGAAUCCAUCCCAUUGACUAGACGGGGGAGACAUUUUGAUGGAGCAUGGAGGCUCUUUUGGUGUUUUUCUGCUACAGCUGUAAAGUUUAAUUGCUUCCAGUUAGUGUUUUAAAUUUUUGUGUAAUUAAAGCCAAAGCCUUAAAAGAUGUAAACCAUUAGGGUGUCUUUAUUUGUAUCUCUCUAGCUCAUUGAACUGCUGUUGUAUUUAUUCUGUAUGUUGGAAAGAUUCUAAUGUAACUUGAAUAUGUAUCACUUUUGGGAAGUUCAAUGAGACUUUUGGGUCACGAGAUUGUUAUGUUC
Non-coding RNA from Camellia sinensis, 1245 nucleotides. The record is from RefSeq and is a predicted model, not a curated record. Lineage: Eukaryota; Viridiplantae; Streptophyta; Magnoliopsida; Ericales; Theaceae.